Molecule: unclassified non-coding RNA, 4588 nt
Filed under: Leishmania donovani
Lineage: Eukaryota; Euglenozoa; Kinetoplastea; Trypanosomatida; Trypanosomatidae
Description: gene:LdHU3.23.1990(CDS-product:Protein_of_unknown _function_(DUF3250)_putative)
Source: RNAcentral
AGCUUUCUCCCCCCUCUGCUUCUCACCUUUUUAGUCCCGUGUGCAUGCGUGCUCUGCGUUCCGGAAGCACGCCAGGUUGGAGGUGCUGAUCGUCAGCUCUGCAUCAACAGUAUCUGCGCCCCCUCUCCAUCUCCUGGGCACCUGGUGAACGCGCACACUCAUUGAGAGGGCCGGUGGCUAUGCUGCUGCUGCCGCUCCCCCCCCCCCGUCACAUACACGCACGCAGUCGACUCAUUCCGGGCGCACGAGGCACCGUCUCUUUCGCCGUCACCUUUUUUACUUCAUAGACUAGAAGCACACACCUCCCCACCUCGCCAACACCGUCGGCGGCAUUCGCUGUGCCAUGGCCCACAGUGCCGCGGCUACGCGAUCCGCACGACCACCAGGCACGGACUGGCAAGACUCCUACUUCACGCUAGAGGAGCGCUAUCGGCGGCUGCAGAAGCGGUUCAAUACCCAGGAACAGGAGCUGAAGUUGAUCAAGGUUGCGCAAAGAAAGAAGAAAGCCCUGUCUGCCGGCCCGUCCUUGUCUUCAGUUUCCGCGCGGCGCCCGCUACAGCCUGCACUUCGCCCUGAGCCCCGCUAUACGGAGGAGUCGCAGGGCAAUGUGGAGGUCUCCGGAUCGAGCUCUCCGCGGCGCUUUCCAAACCCGCAGAAUGGCGACAGCGGUGGUGCACCUGCUCACACCUCGCUGGGAAUUUCGGCCUUGCCAAAUCAAUGGGUGGACUACCACAUCAGCCGCGCAGACUCCAUCACCGACUCUCAGCAGCCGUCGCCGCCACCGCCACAGGCUGCUUCGUACGCCCAGCCUUCAUCGUCUCCAAAUCAGCCGCCUGCACAGCAGCAGCCACAGCCGCAUGGAGUGGAGGAGUACAUCGCGGUGCCCUCUGCGGCUGCUCCUCAGGCGACUCGGGCGGCCGCCAUCGCCGAGGCAAGCGCGUGGGGCGAGGCAGGCGCAUUGCCCGAUCCGGCCAUGGUGUGGGGCACCGACGGCCGCAGCAGCAUGCAAAAUUACGUGGUGGCUAGCGCUCUCUACCACGCCAACGAGGAGCUCCGCCGAAAGCUUAACGAGUCGGUGAUGACGCUUCAAACCCUUCAGCAAGAGCUGGGGAGCAGUCGUGCGCAGCACGCGGCGCUGCAGACGCGGCUGGAGAACGUGUCUGCGCAGCUUCACCAGGUAGUGCGUGAGCGCGACCUGUCGGCGCAGAAGUACACCAACGCGAGCCACACAAUAGCGGACCUCGAGCGCACCCUGCGUGAUCGCGUCAGUGAGGAGGAAAAGAUUCGGUUUUCAUUGGAGAGCCAAAUAACGGAGCUGCGCAGCCGCCUCGUAGUGGGGGCGGACAGCAACGAGUUGUUGCAAAAGGACGUGCGUAGCUUGCUGUCCGAGACGCGGGACCGAACGGCGGAGGUGAUGAAGCUGCGCUCGAACCUGGCGCUGGCCGAGUCCGCUCUGUCGUCUCAGAGGCAUGUGAACGAGAACAUGCUGGUGGAGCUGAAAAGUCUGAGCACCCAGCUUGUAGAGGAGCGCAAGCGACUCAUCACGGUGACACGCGAAGCACAUCUUGCCUCUCUCAGCGGGACGCGUGUGGAGGAUCUAGAGCAGCAGCUGCAGCGUGUGCAGGAGGAACGCAAUGCUAUUGAGCGGGAGCACAUCGAACUCAUGUCGGAUUUUGUGCACAUCACUGAGGACGCCCUGCGCCACGCUCGAGAAGAGGUGGGGAGGGACGUAGCGGACUGGAAGGCGGCCGCCACCCACUGGGAGCAGGUGUCCCAGCUGCUUUACAAGGACAUCGCUGAGCGCACUCAGCAGCACCUGCAGUGUCGUGCCGAAUGUGAGGAAGCUCAGGGUCAGCGCGACGCAGCGGAGCUGCAGCUGCGUUCACUGAAGGGGGAGGUGGCCCUGCUCACCGCAAAGCUCGACGUGGUGUGGCCCAGCCACGCGACGGACGCUAAGACCUUGACGGCGGAGGAGAUACUCAACGUCUUCGGUCGAAAAGAUCGUGCAGGCAUUUUCUUGUUCGACGAGCGCUGCCGCCGCCGAGCUGCAGCGCUUCGCCGCAGCGGAGCCAACGAUGGCGAGCCGACUGGCGCGUCUGCCACAGGGGAGACCGCCGCCGCCGCUGAAGAGAAUGAUGGCGGCGGCGAGGAAGAUGCUGGCUUCGACCUGGCGGCAGCAGUGCUCGGCGAUCUCCCAGCUGACCCGACGACCGUCGCCUGCCAAUUGCAGGAGCUUCACGAGGCGAACGCAGCGCUAAUCUCUGAGGUGCACCAGCUGCGGCUCACAAACGACCUGCUGCAGGAGCGACUGAAUAGGCUUACGGGGAGACAGAAGGAAGAGCAGGCCCGCGUGGCUGCGGCAGAGGUGUCACUGCAGCAGCGGGAGAGGGCGGGGCACCAGCUGCUAGAGAAACAGCUGGAUCGCGUGGCCUUCCUUGAGGCGCAGGUGAGGUCAUUACGCGGUUAUCAUGUCCCCGCAAACGCCCCAAUCGGCGAGGUAGGCGAGAACGAGAACAUCUUUGAGCUGUACCUUGGCCAGCUCGUCGCUGCCGAGGUGCCGGAGGGGAUCGAGGUGCCGGAGAUGUUCUCCACCGUGUUCUGCUCUGCUGACUUUCUGGUGCAUGAGACGGUCACCACCGGCACUGUGCGCGGCUUCAACGGCUUCUUCGAGGUGACCGCAUCGUUCUGUGUGUCGAUGGACGCGCUGCUAUUCUACUAUUUGCACACACGCCAACUACUGAUUCAGCUGCACCGCGUUCGUAAUGCAGAAGAGGCAGCCGCCAUGACGCUAGCCGCAGCAGCCGGAGCGGGUGACGAGGAGACUCACCUCUCAGUGACGGACGCAGUUGACACCGGGACUACGCACAGCGCACACGGCGGCAGCUCCAGCGGCAGCACGCACCCAAGCCUUCGCAUGGCCGAGCAUAUGUUCGAGACAAUCGCGGAGGGCCAGGUGAGCCUGGCGGACAUUGUGCUGCGGGAGGACUGCCGCCACUCCACCCGCCCAACGUUGAAGGGCCACGUGCACCUGGUCACACCUGCAGGCCGGCACCUCGCCUCAGUGGAGUUCCGCCUGACGGCGCGGCGUCCCUACUCCGCCGACUUUGUGCGACUCGUGGAAAAAUCGGUGGCAACCGCCAUUACCGAGGGUGCCGCUGCCGCCGCCGGCAAGGAAGCAGGCGACGAGCAUGAUGCGUCGUCGCACCUGCUCGAUUGGAUGCGGGCCACCGCUAGCACUUCACUGGGCGCGGCUGAGCAUCGGCGGCAAGAGUCUGGGCAGGGCACGACGCCGACCCCGCGCCACACGCGUAGCGCCGCGAAGAUCACCCCCACCGACCCCCACCUCCAAACCCGCCACAAUCAACUGCAGCUGGUGCCGGUUGCCUCUGCUGACGGGGACACUUCAUCGACCGCUUCGUCCUUCCUCAUUCAACAGCAGUCGCGCAUGGCGGGCACCGCUGGGGCGCUGGUGGUGCACCUUCCCCCGCCUUCGCCGCCGCCACGUCAACGUUGGCCAAGCGCGUCCUCGUGGGGUAGAAGGGAAGGAAGCGACUUGCAGGCGGCUCGUCACAGAGGUGGCGGCUCGCCGUUCAGCAGUCGAGCCGACCACGACUCCGUUAUGGAGCGCAGCCCUGUCUCCGCCUCUUUCAUGCACGUUGAUCGCUCACUUCUGUCGGCGCAGCCGGUGUUUGGCGGGAGCGGCGGCGAAGGAUCGAGGGUGAUGGGGUCAGCCAUUCAGUGUCUCUGGGUAGAUGUGGAGCGGCUGGAGCUGCCGGCCGACCUGCCACCGCCCAUCCCGCGGCUGUCCUGCUACUUUCGUGUCGAAGCAGCCGACGCCGAGGUGUGGCUCGACGCGCCGCCCACGCCACGCUACACGUGGGAGUACACGCUUGACGUUCGAGACGGCAGAGCCGGAGCCUACGGUGCAUCGCUGCCGGUGCGUUCCGUCACGCAGCUCGCCUCUAUCCUGCGCGAGCCGCUUGUCGUUUUCCUGCUCGACGCCGACGCCAUGGCGUCCAAGAGCGCUGCUGCCGUCACCGAUCCGUGCGUAUGGGCCAUGGCUGUGUGCGAGUGGGCACAGGUGGUGCAGCACCCCAAUGAGCCGCAGUCCUUCGCCUUACCGCUUCUGCGGCGCGAUCAGUCCGUUGUACACGGGGCGGUGCUGCGGUUAUCCCUGACCGCCUCCACCAUCGGCGUGCGUUCGAGCCCGCCACACGCAGAGCCAUCGCCUUCGCAGCUGCAGAACACGGGGUUGAAUACCAGCAGCUCGCCUUUCAUACCACCACCGCCGAUGUCGUCUCCGCCGCCGCCGCCACCGCCACCGCCGCCACCGCUACCAGAGGAGCUGUCGCCGCCGAGGGACCUCUCUAUGGAGGAGGAGUUGCUGAGGCUCGAAUACAAGCAACACACCGGGCGCAGCUUCGUGUAAGAGGGGGUGCGCGCACCAACUCUCCGUCUUUGCGCUCCCCCACCACUUCGCUGUGUCUGAGCUUGCCCCCUUCUCACCGCUUCUUCAUCUACCCAUGCCCAUACUCUUCCACUUUACUAAAAUCGCGAACAAGGUGCAACAACCGGCGAGCACGACGAG